Molecule: ribosomal RNA, 253 nt
Filed under: uncultured bacterium
Lineage: Bacteria
Description: partial 16S ribosomal RNA
Rfam family: Bacterial small subunit ribosomal RNA
Source: RNAcentral
UACGUAGGGGGCGAGCGUUGUCCGGAUUUAUUGGGCGUAAAGAGCGUGUAGGCGGCCAGGUAGGUCUGCUGUGAAAACUCGAGGCUCAACCUCGAGACGUCGGCGGAAACCAUCUGGCUAGAGUCCGGAAGAGGAGAGUGGAAUUCCUGGUGUAGCGGUGAAAUGCGCAGAUAUCAGGAAGAACACCCGUGGCGAAGGCGGCUCUCUGGGACGGUACUGACGCUGAGACGCGAAAGCGUGGGGAGCGAAUAGG